CCUACGGGAGGCAGCAGUAAGGAAUCUUGCGCAAUGGGCGAAAGCCUGACGCAGCGACGCCGCGUGGGCGAUGAAGGCCUUCGGGUUGUAAAGCCCUUUUCUGGGGGACGAGGAAGGACGGUACCCCAGGAAUAAGUCACGGCUAACUACGUGCCAGCAGCCGCGGUAAAACGUAGGUGGCAAGCGUUAUCCGGAAUCACUGGGCGUAAAGGGCGUCUAGGCGGACGGGUAAGUCGUGCGUGAAAGCUUCCGGCUCAACCGGGAGAGGUCGUACGAUACUGCCUGUCUUGAGGGUCGGAGAGGGACGUGGAAUUCCCGGUGUAGCGGUGAAAUGCGUAGAUAUCGGGAGGAAGGCCUGUGGCGAAGGCGGCCCUCUGGCGCUUGACUGACGCUGAGGCGCGAAAGCGUGGGGAGCGAACAGGAUUAGAUACCCCUGUAGU
This 440-nucleotide ribosomal RNA is filed under the name uncultured Anaerolineae bacterium. RNAcentral's name for it is "partial 16S ribosomal RNA". It matches the Rfam family "Bacterial small subunit ribosomal RNA", at positions 338 to 794 of the family's 1533-position model. The record is from RNAcentral. Lineage: Bacteria; Bacillati; Chloroflexota; Anaerolineae.